GCUCUGUCGCCCAGGCUGGAGUGCAGUGGCCUGAUCUCGACUCACUGCAACCUCCAUCUCCCGGGUUCAAGUGAUUCUCAUGCCUCAGCCUCCCUAGUCCACCACCACACAUGACCAAUUUUUGUAUUUUUUGUAGAGAUGGGGUUUCACCAUAUUGGCCAGGCUGGUCUCGAACUUCUGGCCUCAAGCGAUCCACCCACCUAGCCUCCCAAAGUGCUGGGAUUACAGGUGUGAGCCACCACACUGGGGUCCAUAACUGAUAUUUUUAAAAGCAGAAUUCUAACUUCCUUGCUGUUUUUCUGCCUUAUUCAUAACCCAAUGGGAAAUCUCCUCAUGAUGUCUUAAGAAUUAGUAUGGUCUCACUUUUUGGAAAUGGUUUGGUGAUAGUCCUUCCAGAAAGAGGAAGGUGUGGAAUACAUGAUUGAUCUUCCAUCCUGUAACUGUAUUUUUAAAACAUCCUGAAAAAUUGAGGCAUCCGUUUGAGUAAUUUCAAGAUGGGAGGUGGGAUGGACAUCUCUACUUUCAUCUGAGUUACCCAAAGUAGAUCUUGCAGCAAUUUUUUUCCUCGGUGAUCCAGAUAAUCAUUUCGAUUUUUUUCUCUCCCUCCUGUGGAAAUGUAAAAUUUAUUACAGUGCAGUGUUUUUCUUACACUUGAUUUUAGGACAGAUAAACUGUAAUAUACUUUCUUAAUCCAUUUGGGCUGGACUAACAAAAUGCUAUAAGCUUACUAGCUUAUAAACUACAGAAAUUUAUUUCUCAGCUCUGGAGGCUGAGAAGUACAAAAUCAAGGAACCAGCAGAUUCAGUGUCUGGUGAGGGCCUGAUUUCUGGUUCACAGAUAGCACCUUCUAGCUGUGUAGAAGUUGAAAGGGAUUUCUCUUGGGCCUCUUUUAUAACGACACUAAUCCCGUUCAUGAGGAGUUCACUCUUGUCACCUAAUCACCUCCCAAAGGCCCCAUUUCCUUAUGAUGCCAUCCCCUUAGGGGUUAGGAUUUCAACCUAUGAAUUUUGGAGGGACACAAACAUUCAGACCAUGGCAUACACAUUUUGAUAAAACGUUAAUGUGCAUGAUUUCAGAUAUUCACUAAUGUUUUCUUUUUCCAAACUGGUCACUUUAAUUUCCUCAAUUUCCAUCACCAAUAGAGCUCUCAUGCUUUUUUUUUUUUUUUGAGCUGGAAUCUGGCUCUGUCGCAGCAGUGCAAUCUCGGCUUACUGCAACGGGCUCCGCCUCCCAGGUUCAAGCAAUUCCAAGCAGUUGGGAUUACAGGCGCCCGCCACCACACUCAGCUAAUUUGUUGUUGUUGUUCUUUUAGUAGAGAUGGGGGUUUCACCAUCUCGGCCAGGCUGGUCUUGAACUCCUGACCUAGUGAUCCACCCACCUCGGCCUCCCAAAGUGCUGAGAUUACAGGCAUGAGCCACUGUGCGCAGCCAGAACUCUAAUUCUUUACUACUUUCCCUUUAAGAGAAGGAAGGGAUAAUGACAAAAGCUAGGCAUGUUUACGGAAUAAAAGAAAAAUUACCAAAUGCUUCCUUAGAAUAUUCUUGUGAAAACUGGUGAGCAAGGAUCUCUUAUUCUGCUAGUGACGGUAGUGGUGAUUAUGUGUGAAAGGGGUUUUUGUUUUUUUUUUUUUUGAGGGGAUUAAAAAGUUACUUAAUAUUUUUCCAGUGAAAAUAAGCAUCUUCACAGCUCAAGAUGUGGCGUCGUCACCUGUAGGCAUACAGGAACUGCCGCAGUGAUCUGUGUGUCUUCAUAAAUCUCUUUGCCUUCUCCAAGGAAACACAGAGAAUAAUGAUUCAGUUAUAUAUAAAUGCCUUUUUAAACGAUAAUAAAACUGAAGCUGUACACAGUGGCUCACACCUGUAAUCCCAGCACUUUGGGAGGCCGGGACAGGCGGAUCACUUGAGGCCAGGAGUUCAAGACCAGUCUGACCAACAUGGUGAAACCCCAUCUCUACUAAAAAUACAAAAAUUAGCCAGGCAUGGUGCGCCUGUAAUGCCAGCUACUCGGAAGGCUGAAGCACGAGAAACACUUGACCCCAAGAGGUGGAUCACACCACUGCACGCCAGCUUGUGUGACAGAGAAAGACUCCUUGUCCCCGCUUUCCAAAAAGAGAGAAAGAGAGAGAUAGGAGACCUCUCUUUCUCUGCUUUGAAGAUACAAGAAAAAUGUUGCUGUCUGCAAACCAGGAAGAGGGCCCCACUGGACACUGAGUCUGCCAAGACCUUGAUCUUGAAGGUCUUCCCCAGGCUUCAGAACUAUGAGAAAUAAAUUUCUAUUGUAAAGCCAUCCAGUCUGUGGUAUUUUUGUAGCAACCUAAGAAGAUUGACAUUAGCUUUUGUUAUUAGCUAUAUUUCAGCCAAAUGAGUCUUCUAAUCUGUAGUGUUAUUCUUCAGCUUGUGAUGGUACGGCUCUUUGUACUAAGGCAAUUUUUUUUGUAUAUACUAAAUUGAGUUGGAAAGCUAUUGUGCCUCUGCAUGAUACACUUUUUAAUUUUUUCUAGAAUAUUUCUUUAGUUACAGUAAUAAAAGCAUGUUUAUUUGACA
This is a non-coding RNA of Callithrix jacchus (white-tufted-ear marmoset), 2543 nucleotides long. NCBI's taxonomy places the organism in Eukaryota, Metazoa, Chordata, Mammalia, Primates, Cebidae. The record is from RefSeq and is a predicted model, not a curated record.